Meriones unguiculatus (Mongolian gerbil) is the source of this 2121-nucleotide long non-coding RNA. RefSeq lists it as uncharacterized. The record is from RefSeq and is a predicted model, not a curated record. Lineage: Eukaryota; Metazoa; Chordata; Mammalia; Rodentia; Muridae. The transcript has 3 exons.
GAACAGUCCGGGCUCGGGGGGCCCAAAACCUGAUGAGAGUUAGAAAAAAAUAGGUCCUGUUUACCCAGAACUCUGCAGCCUGGACCCCAGACUACUCCCCCAGACCCAGGGGACCAGGCUGCUCCCGUCAUCCCUCAGACCCAGAGCUCCAGACUCCAGGCCUCCUCCUCCUCCAGACCCAGUGGUCCUCCUUAACCUUCCUCCCUCAGAUUCACUAUUCCAGCCCUCCUCUCUCAGACACAGGGGUCCUAUCAAGCAGGCAGUGAUGCGGUGUUCUUCAGGGUCACCAGCUAAAGGCAGCCAUGUGCUACCACUGAGAACGCUCAUGGCACCUUGCCUGCUGACCCUCCCUACGAACCCGGAGAGGCAGCUGGGUCCUAAAGUUGAGGGAGACAGGGUAACAGCCCGUUCCUGCCGAUGAUGGUCACUGCGAUGGGAGAGGUCAGCAGAGAUCACUGGUCAAUAGAUCACAGACUCUCAAGCUACGCAGUGAUGGCGCAAGACUGAAAUCCCAGGACUCGGGGAGACAGAAGCAGAGAGUUCUCUGAGUUCGAGGGUAGCCUGGUCUGCAGAGCGAGUUCCAGGACAGCCAAGGCUACGCAGCAAAACCCUGCCUCGAAAGAAUAAAGAUCACAGAUUCUCCAAAACUCUGCUGCUGCUAACACCAUCGGUAAGCACCGACUGAAGUGCUCUUGCCUGGAAAAAUCUUUGUAAUUUUGACAGACAGAAGCUUGCCUGGGAUUACAAAACCAGGUACAGCGACUCGGACACUCCACACGUGGAUAUAUGCCUUUUGUUUCAGGAUCUUGAGUCCCUUCCCCAGCCAAGACCCUGUGUCAAGUCCCAGAGAUCCUGGGCCCCCUAUCUAAAGGAACCCAAGAACGACUGGACCUUAAAACGUGCAGGCUCCACGCCCCAGCCACAACUUCCCCGCACCCACUCCACGCUGUGCUCCUCCCUUUACAGCCCUCCUCCCUGCUCCCCACUUCCGACCUCCCUAUUCAGGUACCUCCCGCACCCCAGUCAUGUCUACCCACUCUGCCGCCCGUUAAAGCCCCGUACUCCUUUCCAAGGGGCCCCAUCCGCCUCUGUGUCCAGCAGCGGAACCCGAGGCACAGAGGAAUGACGCCAAGCCGGAAAGGCUGGACGCCAGGGCUCCGUCCGGAAGUGUGCCCCCAUCGGGUUCCCCAGAGCCCCCAGCGCCGGUCGGCCACGGACCCACCUGCCCUAGUACGGCUGCGGCCAUGAUCCGAGCGGCGGGUAACUGUGCCCGCUUGGGGCGCGGCCUGGAGAAAGACAUUCGGGCCCCGCCCUGCUCACGCCCCCUCCCGCAGAUGGCUGCUCUCUGCGGGCCUCACUUCAGCCAGGCGGCUCUGAGUGAUAGGACCUCAGGGACCCAGGCUCUGCCGUGAAGAAGAGCUGGAACAGUCCAGAACUGUCAUUCAUUCUCCCAACUGGCCUCCACCCUGCCUUGCUCUUCCCCAGCCACACCCAGGCCCAGCCAGGCAUUUAUCUUGGCUAUUGUUUUGCUUGAGAGUACUUGGGGACUGAACCCUUGGCCUCAGGAACGUUAAGGAAGUGUCCUAACCACCGAGAAAACAUCUCCAGACCUAAAGAAAGAACGAAAGGAAGGAAGGAAGGAAGGAAGGAAGGAAGGAGAAGGAAGGAAGGAAGAGAGAGAGAGAAAGAAAGAGAGAGAAAGAAAGAAAGAAAGAAAGAAAGAAAGAAAGAAAGAAAGAAAGAAAGAAAGAAAUUGAUAGACAGAUAGAUAGAUGUUAGAUGUUGCCGGGCAUGGUGGUACAUGCCUUUAAUCCCAGCAUUUGGGAGAAAGGAGGAUCUCCUGUGAGUGCAAAGCCAUCCUGACCUAUGAAAUGAGGCCGGCAACGGCUAUAUAGUGAGACCCUUUCUCAAAACAAAACAAAUGUAGAGUUGGAAAGAGGGCUCAACAGUUAAAAACACUGGUUGCCCUUUCAGAGCACUGGGUUCGGUUCCUGGUACCCACACCGAAGCUCACAACUGUCUGCAACUCCAGUUCCAAGGGCUCCUAUGCCCUCUUCUGAAUUCCACUGUCCAUGCACAGGCCAUAUAUAUGUGCAAGCAAUACAAAUGUACACAUAAAAA